GUAGAGACGGGGUUUUCACCAUGUUGCCCAGGCUGGUCUCGAACUCUUGACUCAUGAUCUGCCCGCCUUGCCCUCCCAAAGUGCUGGGAUUACAGACAUGAGCCACUGCUCCAGGCUGAGCUCGCAUCUUUUAUCAACUGGCCUAUGAGUCUGCACUGAGUCUUGAGAGGGAGGUAAAAUUAAAGAGCCAUCAAACGUGCUUUUUAACAAGCUUACUGUGUCUAAAAGAGGAGGAGGAGGAACAGCUGGAUGAAGUGGGUGACGAGCACUCUUAGAAGUUACCAUAGAAGUGAGUACAUACAGUGUGAGCUGUAGAUGUGUUUGCUGCAGAGGACCAUGUGAGGUUCGGAGGUGGGGCGUGUGGUGACGGGGGGGUAGGUCUGCAGAACCUAACAGAAGGGGAAGCUGUAAGGUGCAGGGGCAGAUGGCACCAGCAUUAACCCUGUCCAUUCCUCUUGACUCUACAGCAGUGGACAACAGGCCUUUUAUUGCUGAUUUACCAUCAGUAAGCAGUCUUUGAAGCACACUUUCCCUGCCCUAAAAAAAAAAUAUUUUUGUACCAUAUAUAUAAAUACACACAUACACAGACACACACACACACACACACAAAUACAAAUAUACUAUGUAACAUUAUAGAACAUGCUUUUUAAAAGAUGAGUUGGGGAGAGAGAAGGGAAAAAGAAAAAAAGAUGAGUUAAGAAUAAACAAUUUGGAUCUAGAUUUUACUUUCUAGAUGAUUGACUUGAAGGUGGUAGAGUAGAGUAAUGCUUGUCUGGUCACAGACAUUUGGAUGAAGGGCUUUUAAGUUCUUUGACAAAGGUUUCAGCCCAUUAGAGUGGUUUUCACUAAUAGUGUUCUAGAAAGAAAAGAUUGUCCAUAGUUCUGUGUAGUUUGACUGCUAAGAUGAUCAGCUAUCCGGGAACAUGAAGUAGCUUCUUCUUCUUUUGCAGGACCCCUGGGAGUCUGUGCUUGGGGAGGGGAGAAGCUUAUUAGGCUCUUGGAUUGUGUGGAAGAAGAAGUUGUGCCAGGCUACAGAAUCCUGUGUUUGCACUGAGAAAAUAGGAUGGUACCUGACCUCUGCAUGGCUGUGAGAUAGCUUUAGAUAAUUUCUUUUGUCUUCAAUGAAUACAAACAAUAUCUUAAAAUUUUUGAGACCAAAAAGUCUUAAAGGGAUCCCUGAGUUAUUUUCUUUUAAAGGCACAGGUGACAAUUAGUAACUUAACGUAGGGUUUUUCUUCCUAGUCUUAUUUCCAUUGAGUUCAAGUUACACUGUUAGCCUGGAGUGCUUGUUUUUAGGGGUAUUUAUCUCUUAGUUUUAAAGAGGAGUUGUUUGGAGUACUGGCCAUAGAACAGAUUCUUCUGACAGUUCUCUAAGUGUUACUGCUCUGAGCUGUGAGAAGGCUUCUGAGCUUUUCCCUUAAUGGGAAAUAAAGAUACUGAGUUGAAAGAAAACAAGUUAGGCGACUUAACCAUCAUAGUGUGGCCAAGAAAUGAUCCUGGAGAAGAUAUGCCCCAUGGCAUAACAAAAUCAAUAUUCCUCCCUCAUAAUCUUUUCUCCCCUAAAACAUUUUAUACUCUUAACCUGCAGCUCAGUUCUAGGCC
Sapajus apella (tufted capuchin) is the source of this 1602-nucleotide long non-coding RNA. RefSeq lists it as uncharacterized. Lineage: Eukaryota; Metazoa; Chordata; Mammalia; Primates; Cebidae. The record is from RefSeq and is a predicted model, not a curated record. The transcript has 2 exons.